CGAAUAAUCUGCCUUUGGGUCUGGGAUAACCUUGGGAAACUGAGGAUAACACCGGAUAUGGGUCUAUGACUGGAAUGUUUUGACCUUUAAAAGCAAUGCCCAAAGAUGAGUCGGCGGCUGAUUAGGUAGUUGGUAGUGUAAAGGACUACCAAGCCCAUGAUCAGUAGGGGCCGUGAGAGCGGGAGCCCCGAGAAGGGUACUGAGAUACUGACCCUAGCCCCACGGGGUGCAGCAGUCGCGAAAACUUUACAAUGCACGAAAGUGUGAUAAGGGAACCCUAAGUGCCUUGUUUUACAAGGCUUUUGCCAAAUGCAAAUAGUUUGGCGAAUAAGUGGUGGGCAAGACCGGUGCCAGCAGCCGCGGUAACCCCGGCGCCACAAGUGGGAAUCGCAUUUAUUGGGCCUAAAGCAUCCGUAGCCGGAUUGGCAAAUCUUUUGUGAAAUUGUUGGGCUUAACUCAACGAAUUGCAAGAGACACUACUAAUCUCGGGACCGGAGAGGAGUCAGAGGUAUGGGAGGGGAGCGGUAAAAUGUUAUAAUCCUUCCUAGACCACCUGUGGCGAANGCGUCUGACUAAAACGGACCCGACGGUGAGGGAUGAAAGCUAGGGGAGCAAACCGGAUUAGAUACCCGGGUAGUCCUAGCUGUAAACUCUGCGAGCUAGGUAUCGCGUAUUCCUUGAAAGUACGCGGAAUCGUAGUGAAGACGUUAAGCUCGCCACCUGGGAAGUAUAGCCGCANGNCNNAAACUUAA
Molecule: ribosomal RNA, 752 nt
Filed under: uncultured archaeon
Lineage: Archaea
Description: bacterial SSU rRNA
Rfam family: Archaeal small subunit ribosomal RNA
Source: RNAcentral